Molecule: ribosomal RNA, 33 nt
Filed under: uncultured Candida
Lineage: Eukaryota; Fungi; Ascomycota; Saccharomycetes; Saccharomycetales
Description: partial 5.8S-rRNA, partial sequence
Source: RNAcentral
UCAAAACUUUCAACAACGGAUCUCUUGGUUCUC